GAAUUCUGGAGUUGCUGUUGAGAUAAAAAUUUCCGGUUGUGAUUUGUUUUCUGUUUGCUUCCUGAGAAAAUGAUUUGUGUUUCUCGGUAGUAUGACUUGUUACGGCCGGACGAAUUUGGUGAAAUCGAGCUUCAUUCUUCUACUGUUUCUCAUAUCAAAACUCUGCUGUUUGUUUGCAAAUUUACAUAUCAAUUUUAAGAUUUAGAUACAUACUUUGGGUAAUGUUUAUUUUCUGUUUGCUUCCUGAGAGUUAUGAAUUCUGAGAGUUAAGAUUUAGAUACAUUCUUUGGAAAAUUAUGAAUUCUGUGAGUUUUCGGUAAUCAAACAAAGGGUUAUGCCUCUGAAUUGGUUUGGUUAGGGGCUCCAAGUCAUUCUUGUCCUGUUUCUUUCAAAUUAGAUUUUUCUACUCUACCAGUCAAAAUGAAAUUUCAGCGGGCAAGCUAGGGGUACCUCAAAUUUUAUUAUACCUGAAACUCUCUGAUCCUUGUAUUUUGGUUACUUUUUGGAUAAAUUUGUGCAUCAUGACUUUGUUCGUAUGCAAGUUCAAUGCCUAUGGUUUGGAGUCUACAAGGAAGUCUCAACGAUGAUAAGCAUCUGUGCACCCAGUGGCUUCUACUAACGAAACCUUUUUCAACAACAAUAUCUUUAAGACUUGCAUCGUAUUGAUCUCAAAAAAUAUGUAUCCCUGCUAACAAUUCUGCGAUUCUUUAAGUGCAGCUUCACUGCUUAGGGGUUUUGUUAAACUGCCAUCCUGUUUCUUCUAUUUAAGGUAUCUGUUCUCCAAUACGCAUCAAAGGUUGGUGAUGGAACUGAUUUUUCAUUUGCCUUUUGCCCCAAGCUAUUGCACUCGUCUCUAGAGGCCCUCAUGAAGACCCAAAGGGAUGAUGUCGGCUUGAAUUGUGUAGCAUUCUUGACAGUGUUGGCUUAGAGAGGGCUUUUCGGGGCUGCAUAUGCAAUUGAUUUAAACAGCAUGACUUCAUCCGAAGGAGAUAGCUUUGAGCAAGCAACAGAAGAUGAAAAAUAUGUGAAUCCAAUGAAUAUAUUGUUUACGGAGGCCUUCAAAGAACCACUGCUUUCAACAGACAGCCAAGUCCAGAUCAGCACACUGGAUUUACUGUUUCAUUACAUGUCCUCCUGGGAAGGCACUUCAGGCAAAGAAACCCAAGUCCUACGACACACAGCGUGUUGGUAUGAUCACCUACAAACAUCCCCCACACCAACAAUAACCCUUGAUGAACGGGCAAUCAUUUUCGGGGGUCUACUCUUUCUAUUUGGACUUUUUGGAAUGCUCAUGAUCUCUCCCCACUCUAAAUUAUUUAAGAAAAAGAAAGAAAAAGAAUAGGGAGAGGUCAGGUCUUGAAAAUACUGAAGUCGUGGACUUCAUUGAUCUCUUUAAUUAGUAGAACAAAACCUAAACCAAGAGCUACUUUGACCUGAGUUUGUUAUACAUGUUUUUUGAAUAUCUAGACCUGUUAUUGCUAUUUUGUUUCAGUUCAAAAUGGAAUUUCUUUGGCUGCAUUUCUUCC
This is a long non-coding RNA of Prunus persica (peach), 1526 nucleotides long. RefSeq lists it as uncharacterized. The transcript has 2 exons. Lineage: Eukaryota; Viridiplantae; Streptophyta; Magnoliopsida; Rosales; Rosaceae. The record is from RefSeq and is a predicted model, not a curated record.